RNAcentral lists this small RNA (126 nucleotides) under Marmota monax (woodchuck). The record is from RNAcentral. Lineage: Eukaryota; Metazoa; Chordata; Mammalia; Rodentia; Sciuridae.
GCCGGGCGCGGUGGCUCACACCUGUAAUCCCAGUGGCUCGGAGGAGGCUGAGGCAGGAGGAUUGCAAGUUCAAAGCCAGGUCAGCAAAAGCCAGGUGCUAAGAAACUCCAGGAGACCCUGUCUCUA